Molecule: ribosomal RNA, 420 nt
Filed under: bacterium
Lineage: Bacteria
Description: partial 16S ribosomal RNA
Rfam family: Bacterial small subunit ribosomal RNA
Source: RNAcentral
UGGGGGAUAUUGCACAAUGGGCGAAAGCCUGAUGCAGCGACGCCGCGUGGGGGAUGAAGGCUUUCGGGUUGUAAACCUCUUUCGCUAUCGAACAAGGCCCGCUUAGGGUGGGUUGAGGGUAGGUGGAGAAGAAGCGCCGGCUAACUACGUGCCAGCAGCCGCGGUAAUACGUAGGGCGCGAGCGUUGUCCGGAAUUAUUGGGCGUAAAGGGCUUGUAGGCGGCUUGUUGCGCCUGCUGUGAAAACGCGGGGCUUAACUUCGCGCGUGCAGUGGGUACGGGCAGGCUUGAGUGUGGUAGGGGUGACUGGAAUUCCAGGUGUAGAGGUGGAAUGCGCAGAUAUCUGGAGGAGCACCGAUGGCGAAGGCAGGGCACUGGGCCAUUACUGACGCUGAGGAGCGAAAGCAUGGGUAGCGAACAGG